Molecule: unclassified non-coding RNA, 2864 nt
Filed under: Hevea brasiliensis (rubber tree)
Lineage: Eukaryota; Viridiplantae; Streptophyta; Magnoliopsida; Malpighiales; Euphorbiaceae
Source: RNAcentral
GAAAGGAUUAAAUUAAUCAUAUAAAAUGAUUGGAACAUAUAUAUGAUUCUACAAAAUCAGGAAAUUACUUUCCAUUCAACUUAUCCACAAUCCCCCAUCAUUGCCAAGAAAAAAGCCCAUUAUAUUGACAACUUCAGCUCUACCUGGAUUGCUAGUUGGAUUUCCAAAUCAACAAAAAUCCAACACCUGCAAACCCAACAGCUUGAUGAUAGCGAAGGUAUAGUGCCACAAAAAUGAGACAGAGAGAGAGAGAGGAAAAAGUAGGAGAAAAGAGGCAGGAGAGCACAUACAAUUUGUACCAGACGAUGAAAAAGAACGCCUUCAAAUUCAAGUUCAUUCUACACUUCUCAAUACAAAUCACUCCAUCCCAAACAACAUGCAUUAGGAUAUAGAUCAAUUCUUAGCUUGCUUUUUGUAUACAAAACAUAUCUUUCUCACGUAAGCCCCCAUCACUACCAAAAAUGUCAAUACACACUUAUAUAGUAAAGCCUAAUUUAAUACAAGGGCAGUCUUGGAAGCAAACCCCCGAACUCAACUGGCUCCUUUACCAUGUGAUACUGUCGAUAAACCUCCCCCAAACAUAAGAUAGACACACUUCAUAUAGAGACAAGUUAGAACUAGCACCCAACAUUGCCAGUGCCCCGACGGCAGUCGGAGGCAAUAGCUGACACAGCAACAUCUGUGGCAUGGGAACCGCUGAUUACUGGCAGGACAAACACACAUGCUCCAAAAGCCAAAUAAGAAUGGGGAUCCAUUACCCCCUUGUCUUGGCCCUCUUCAUACCAAGACUGCUGUGGAAGGGGGAGACUGAACCAGACAUUGGAGAACCUUCUUCGCGAAGUGUACCAUUCAACAUUGCUAGCUCUCUUAGCUGCUGCUUCUUAUAGAAAUCCUGAGAUUCGUCCACAGGCUUCAGUAAGUCUUCAAGUAUCUCAUGUGCUUGCAUUAGGCGAAUAUCAACUAUUUCAACUGGUAACUCUGCCUCAACUAAGAUAUGAAGAGGUUCAUUUAGAUGCUCGUACCCUGGUUUCCCUCUCAUCAUUUCUUCCUUUAAUGAAUAAAUAAUCUUAAUGUUAAUAUAAUAAAACAAAAUUGACUGAAAAUAAUUCACACACAAGAGAGGAAAGCUCAAACAAAGGAAAUAGCUCACAGCAACAAGAUAACUGUUCCAAAAUACACCAAAUGCUUUCAAAGUAUUAAUUAAAAAAUUGUUUUGAAAUUAUUGAAAAGCAUAUUAGGACAAUGCGUAUAAUCCUCAUUAGUAGAGCAAGCAAAUUCAACAAUCUAGUUUACUGUAGAGUCUUUUCCAACUAUCUUCCAUAAGUAAAAAAGAGAAAUUGUUUAGUCAUAAAUCAUAAUACAGCACUUUCACUUACCACACUAGAUUCACCUCAAUAAGGUUAAAACUGAUCCUUAUCAAGACUCAUGUAGUUUAGGGACACAGGUUGUUCUUCUAAAUUAUAAAUCAGCUCAUCAGUUCCCUUGCUUUCAAUAUAUUUGUAAUCAAAAUGACAUUUCAUGUUUAAAAUCAUAAAUGGUAUUCAGAAACAUGAAUGCACACAUAAUCAUAACCAAUGAGAAAAUUCUGAAUAUUACCCUAGCUGGAUCCUUAAUGCUGCCACGCCCUCUGAUCAGAACACGGCACUCAGUACUUGCUUCCACUCGCUUAAGUGAGUUCCCCCUAGGGCCAAGAAGUCGCCCAACAAAGUUGUAAUUAGGAUAUUUGCCGACUGGAAUAUCAACUCUGAUAGUUCUCUUAACAAUAAGACCAGAUGAGCUGCCUUGAGAACUCAGCCAGUUCUGUGCUGAUGAAGACUGUAAUAAACCCGACAUCUACACAACAAAAUUCUAAAUGUUGUCAACCUCAACGAUAUAAGAAUCAAGCUGCCUCAUUUUCCAUGGAGAACUGAUGAGAAGCUUCAUAGUCUCGAAAACAUUUUCAGCUUCAUAGGGGAAGCCAAAGACAAUAUUCAUGAGGUAUUACACCAGGAGAGGGAAAACACAAAACCACAGUAGUAAAUUGAAAUGCACCUUGACAUGUACAACAGUAAAGACCACAAAGCAGUUCAUACUUCAUAUUCAACCAAAACGACUUGAGUUAAUUAAUAUGGAAGAUUAUAAACCUAUAACGAAGCGUGAUGGGACCAAAAUGUUAAAUGAAUUCGACAACCACUGGCAAGCUGAACAGACUAGUCAUCUUUUACUUUGUACAAGGCAUCCACCAUGCCACUUCAGCAACAUUGCAGAACAAAUAACAACAUUUGAUUAACUAAAGGUCAGCAUUCUGCAGAAGACGUAUUAUAACUCCAGUUGUCUUAGCACUCCCCUAAAUCGAGUAAACCUAGCUUAGUACUUAGCAUGUCAGGCAUCCUGAUUAAAAGAUGUAAGGCUAUGAAAAAUGUUCAUGUAAUAGGUCUCCAUAUUGCGAUCAGAAUGUGAAAAAUCAUAUAUUUGGUCUCUGUGAAGCUUUAGGAAAAGUAUGGGGAAGGAGAACCAGCUAACUAAAAGAGAGUUCUGAAACAGCAUGUUAAAGUUAAGAUCUACUUUCACUGGUCGAUGAUGUUAGCCUCAGACCCAUAUUACCUGUCAUGAAAAGCUUGCCAAUUUAAAGUGCAAACUCAAACAAAGUUAAAAGUUAGCAUAAAAUGUAAAACAUCUAGUCAGGAAAACAGUAAAAUUAGAUGGAAAAGAAGGUUAUGUUAAUGGUUAGUAUCCGUACUUCUGAUUGAAACCGUGAUGCCCAUCCAUUUGAAUUGGCUCCUCCCUUUGAAAAUAUUCCUCCAGAAGCCAUAGGGCUAGCAUGUUCAAGCCCACUUUGACCUAAAACUGAUGCAUUCCCCAACAGUGUAGUUACACGCAAUAUU